RNAcentral lists this ribosomal RNA (484 nucleotides) under uncultured bacterium. RNAcentral's name for it is "partial 16S ribosomal RNA". It matches the Rfam family "Bacterial small subunit ribosomal RNA", at positions 29 to 507 of the family's 1533-position model. The record is from RNAcentral.
AUUGAACGCUGGCGGCAUGCUUUACACAUGCAAGUCGAACGGCAGCGCGGGCUUCGGCCUGGCGGCGAGUGGCGAACGGGUGAGUAAUACAUCGGAACGUGCCCAGUAGUGGGGGAUAGCUCGGCGAAAGCCGGAUUAAUACCGCAUACGACCUGAGGGUGAAAGCGGGGGAUCUUCGGACCUCGCGCUCUUGGAGCGGCCGAUGGCAGAUUAGCUAGUUGGUGGGGUAAAGGCCUACCAAGGCGACGAUCUGUAGCUGGUCUGAGAGGACGACCAGCCACACUGGGACUGAGACACGGCCCAGACUCCUACGGGAGGCAGCAGUGGGGAAUUUUGGACAGUGGGCGAAAGCCUGAUCCAGCAAUGCCGCGUGUGUGAUGAAGGCCUUCGGGCUGUAAAGCACUUUUGGCGGGAACGAAAAGGACUGUGCCAAUACCACGGUUCGAUGACGGUACCCGCAGAAUAAGCACCGGCUAACUACGUG